RNAcentral lists this ribosomal RNA (252 nucleotides) under uncultured bacterium. Its description in RNAcentral is "partial 16S ribosomal RNA". It matches the Rfam family "Bacterial small subunit ribosomal RNA", at positions 525 to 776 of the family's 1533-position model. The record is from RNAcentral.
ACGAACCGUCCUAACGUUGUUCGGAAUCACUGGGCUUAAAGGGCGCGUAGGCGGGCGAUCAAGUCCGGGGUGAAAUCUUUCGGCUUAACCGGAAAACAGCCUUGGAUACUGAUUGUCUCGAGGGAGGUAGGGGCCUGUGGAACUUCCGGUGGAGCGGUGAAAUGCGUUGAUAUCGGAAGGAACGCCGGUGGCGAAAGCGACGGGCUGGACCUUUUCUGACGCUGAGGCGCGAAAGCCAGGGGAGCAAACGGG